Molecule: ribosomal RNA, 418 nt
Filed under: uncultured eukaryote
Lineage: Eukaryota
Description: bacterial SSU rRNA
Rfam family: Eukaryotic small subunit ribosomal RNA
Source: RNAcentral
CAAUAGCGUAUAUUAAAGUUGUUGCAGUUAAAAAGCUCGUAGUUGGAUUUCUGGGAGGGUGCCAAUGUCCGCCGACGUGCGUGCGCAGCGGCGCCCUACCAUCCUUCUGUUAACGCGCCAGGGCAUUCACUUGUCGGGCGCGGGCUCAGAUAAUUUACCUUGAGAAAAUUAGAGUGUUUCAGGCAGGCUCGCGCCGGGAUACAUUAGCAUGGAAUAAUGGAAUAGGACUUUCGCCUCUUCUGUUGGUCUGAGGGGUGAUCGUAAUGAUUAAUAGGGAUAGUUGGGGGCGAUUAGUACUUAACUGUCAGAGGUGAAAUUCUCGGAUUUGUUAAAGACUAACUUAUGCGAAAGCAUUUGCCAAGGAUGUUUUCAUUAAUCAAGAACGAAAGUUAGGGGAUCAAAGACGAUCAGAUACCAU